Synchiropus splendidus (mandarinfish) is the source of this 885-nucleotide long non-coding RNA. RefSeq lists it as uncharacterized. The record is from RefSeq and is a predicted model, not a curated record. The transcript has 4 exons. NCBI's taxonomy places the organism in Eukaryota, Metazoa, Chordata, Actinopteri, Syngnathiformes, Callionymidae.
AGGUUGUAGAUCCCAACACUGUGGACCAUGAGGUGAUCGCAGAUUAAGUGCCAAGAUCCUGGAGUUACAGGUGGCCGAUGAUCCAGAACGCUGAUCCAAACAGAAGCCAGGACGCCACAAACACCAGGCUGAAGAGGAGGAACAUGUAUCUCCAGCGGAUGUCCACGCACGUGGUGAAGAUGUCAGAGAUGUAGCGCUGGGACUUCUCGUCCAUGUUAGAAAAGUGGAUGUUGCAUUGCCCAUUCUUGCUGACAAAGCGGUUGAGGUUUUUGCGUCUGGGCAGGAAGCGGUCGUGGCGGUGGGCUCUUCCCACACUCAUGCCUCAGUGGGGGCAGCCGUGGCUUCUUCCUUGCUCAUACACAGCUCAGGAGCCGGCAAAGGCAGGCAGGCAGCUGGCACAACCAUUAAAGUCACUGGAGGACUGCAGCGAGAGGAUGUAAUUCCCCCGAGAGGCCAAGCUGGUAAAUAAUAUGGGGCACAAAAUUGUCCCUGACAACACAACCUCAGUUACAAGUGCGUUUGUGCGCGGAAUAAUUGGAGGAAGGGAAAACACAUUUUAUAUUAUAUUAUAUAUUAUAUUCCAAUGCACAACAUGCAGGAUAUAAAUGAAGGAAAAUAUAUGUUGUUGGAGUGAAGGUAUAAACGUGUUGAGUCAAGAAUAAAUAUUCUGUUUUAAGGAGAAGGUAAAUAUAAGGUACUUGAGUUGAUACUUGAGUGAAAUGUAAUAUUAAGCAAAAGUUCUGGCUCUAAACAAAGGAAAUUAGACAGAAAAUAAUGUGAAAUGUGAAUUUAUUGUUUAUUAUCACUUAAUGCUGUUAGAGAUUGUUAUUUUCUUUAUCUGUCAGUGUUCCCCCAUUAUGAGAAAAUAUAUUUUACAUUGAGCAA